UGCCGUGAGGUCGUGUGAGAUGGAAGCUUGUAGCGAACUGCAGCACCGAACGAAAGUGAAUCUCCAAGCAGGCAUGUUGACCUGGGCAAGCGGGCCUUCAUCCGUGACGCCCCAUAUCCGAUCGUGGUCAGGGUGUAGUGGAGGCGGGAGCGGCGGGA
Molecule: non-coding RNA, 158 nt
Filed under: uncultured Rubripirellula sp.
Lineage: Bacteria; Pseudomonadati; Planctomycetota; Planctomycetia; Pirellulales; Pirellulaceae
Source: RNAcentral